GGGUUCGUAGCUCAGCCAGGUAGAGCGUUUGGCUCUUAACCAAUCAGUGUAUUUCACUGGGUUAAAAUGUCGUGGGUCCGAAUCCCACCGAACCCG
This 96-nucleotide transfer RNA is filed under the name Nitrososphaera viennensis EN76. It matches the Rfam family "tRNA". From Rfam's summary of the family: Transfer RNA (tRNA) molecules are approximately 80 nucleotides in length. RNAcentral also lists the same sequence under 1 other name. The record is from Rfam by way of RNAcentral. Lineage: Archaea; Thermoproteati; Nitrososphaerota; Nitrososphaeria; Nitrososphaerales; Nitrososphaeraceae.